Molecule: long non-coding RNA, 1620 nt
Organism: Choloepus didactylus (southern two-toed sloth)
Lineage: Eukaryota; Metazoa; Chordata; Mammalia; Pilosa; Megalonychidae
Exons: 3
Source: RefSeq, a predicted model, not a curated record
GGACUGGAGCUGGAGGGCAAGGAGACAGAAGAGAAAGGGGACAAGUGGAACGAAGGAGCCAGGGCACUGUUCUAAACACCACUACAUUCAUGCAAUGCUCACAACACUGUGAGGUGGGUGUAUUAUUAUUCCUGUUUUACUGAGGAGGAAACUGAGGCUUGGAGAGGUUAGAAAAUUUGCCCAAAGUCAUGCAAGCAAUAAACAGAAAAACCAAGAUUUGAACCUAAAUCUGUCUUCAAAGAGAUACAGUGGAUUCAGCUGAGAGUCUCGGAAGAAUUCUGUGGUCAUGAUUCACACAGAAAAUGAAUGCUCUGGACUUCUCUGGCUUCCAGUACAAAGCCACAGUAUGAUCCCUGGGAGAAUGCAACUUUGGUUUCAUAUAACAAAAAUCAGGGAACCUGACCAUGAAGCAUUGGUCCCAUUGACAAUGGAAUCAUUCAUCAACAUUUUCUUCUAAAAAAGCUGAAAACUGAGGAAGCAUCGCUCAAUGGCUCUUCAGUAAUGGACAGUCUCCUGGGAUUUAAAUAAAGUUCUGGGAAAUGACUAGAAUAGGAAGUAAAAUUUUUAGUUUAAAGUGAUUUAUUCAAAUUCUACUCUAAAGCAAACUUCCAUAUUUUAUGGAAUUCAAAUUUUCAAUGUUCUAUUUUUUUGUAGUUUGUCUCACCAUUCUUCCUUAUGUGUGCUAUAUUCCAGCCAAACAGUAUGAGCCACUCUGUUACGUCUUUUUAGCUCUGCUUUUGCUCUUCUUUGACUGCAAUGCAUCCCCCUUGAUUUUGAUUAAUUCUGGAGUUAAAAGGACCUGACUUCAAAUCCCAGCCCUAACAUUUCACUAUCUGUGUAACCUUCAGUAAAUUAUCUAACCAUUUUUCUUAGUUUUAUCUCUUGUAAAAUAAAGAUGAUAAUAAUGCCUAUGAAGUUAUUAUAACCAUUAAUUAAGGUUUCUGAAAAGCACAUUUAAGUUUAUACAAAAGGUAUUCUUAAUAUUACUGUCUUUUAAGGCCUAGCUAGAUAGUAGGCUCUUUAAGAACAGAGAUCAUGUUUGUAUUAUGUCUAUAUGUUCUUAGUGCCUAGAAUGAUGUUUUGUAUAUUAUAGGAACUUGUUAAAUAUAUUUGUUAAAUUGAAUAGAUGUGUUAUGCUAUUUAUUUGUAUCUGCCUCCAGACACUAGACUGCAAGGUCUCUGAAGGCAUCCUAUAGGACCAGGGCUUAAUACAGGACCUGCCACACGGUACCAUUUGUGGAAUGAAUGAGCAUGCAAUGUCUGUAACCAUAAUUUCAUAUUUAUACAUCACAGUUAGAUACAUACUGUGUCUUGUUAUAGGUUCUGUCUUUUCACAAGACUAUAACCUUCUUGAGGGUGGGGUGUAUUAUAAUUCUUUGCAUAUCAAGUCUGGUGAUAAAGGAAAAAAAAUCUCCAUCUGAAUGUCUCAUGGUAAUGGAGACUGUAAACAUUUCUGAAUUGUAUCUGCAGUGAAUUGUAAUGGAAAGUAAACUUAUACAGAUGACUCAAUUUUUCAAAUAAUCAGAUGACAACCAUAAAUGAAACAUUAACAUGGAUCAAGAAAAGCAAAAUAAAGAGCAGAGGAUUACAAGAUUGGUGUUACAGUCUUUCUCUAUCAAG